This 468-nucleotide ribosomal RNA is filed under the name uncultured bacterium. Its description in RNAcentral is "partial 16S ribosomal RNA". It matches the Rfam family "Bacterial small subunit ribosomal RNA", at positions 28 to 507 of the family's 1533-position model. The record is from RNAcentral.
GACGAACGCUGGCGGCGUGCUUAACACAUGCAAGUCGAACGGAAAGGCCCUGCUUUUGUGGGGUGCUCGAGUGGCGAACGGGUGAGUAACACGUGAGUAACCUGCCCUUGACUUUGGGAUAACUUCAGGAAACUGGGGCUAAUACCGGAUAGCAGCUCCUGCUGCAUGGUGGGGGUUGGAAAGUUUCGGCGGUUGGGGUUGGACUCGCGGCUUAUCAGCUUGUUGGUGGGGUAGUGGCUUACCAAGGCUUUGACGGGUAGCCGGCCUGAGAGGGUGACCGGCCACAUUGGGACUGAGAUACGGCCCAGACUCCUACGGGAGGCAGCAGUGGGGAAUAUUGCACAAUGGGCGGAAGCCUGAUGCAGCAACGCCGCGUGCGGGAUGACGGCCUUCGGGUUGUAAACCGCUUUCGCCUGUGACGAAGCGUGAGUGACGGUAAUGGGUAAAGAAGCACCGGCUAACUACGUG